RNAcentral lists this ribosomal RNA (499 nucleotides) under uncultured bacterium. RNAcentral describes it as "partial 16S ribosomal RNA". It matches the Rfam family "Bacterial small subunit ribosomal RNA", at positions 28 to 507 of the family's 1533-position model. The record is from RNAcentral.
GACGAACGCUGGCGGCGUGCCUAAUACAUGCAAGUCGAGCGAAGUUUUUCUGGUGCUUGCACCGGAAAAACUUAGCGGCGAACGGGUGAGUAACACGUAAAGAACCUGCCUCAUAGACUGGGACAACUAUUGGAAACGAUAGCUAAUACCGGAUAACAGCAUUAACUGCAUGGUUGAUGUUUAAAAGUUGGUUUUGCUAACACUAUGAGACGGCUUUGCGGUGCAUUAGCUAGUUGGUGGGGUAAAGGCCUACCAAGGCGACGAUGCAUAGCCGACCUGAGAGGGUGAUCGGCCGCACUGGGACUGAGACACGGCCCAGACUCCUACGGGAGGCAGCAGUAGGGAAUCUUCCGCAAAGGGCGAAAGCCUGACGGAGCAACGCCGCGUGAGUGAAGAAGGAUUUCGGUUCGUAAAGCUCUGUUGUUAGGGAAGAAUGAUUGUGUAGUAACUAUACACAGUAGAGACGGUACCUAACCAGAAAGCCACGGCUAACUACGUG